RNAcentral lists this ribosomal RNA (248 nucleotides) under Streptococcus dysgalactiae. RNAcentral describes it as "partial 16S ribosomal RNA". It matches the Rfam family "Bacterial small subunit ribosomal RNA", at positions 198 to 443 of the family's 1533-position model. Lineage: Bacteria; Bacillati; Bacillota; Bacilli; Lactobacillales; Streptococcaceae. The record is from RNAcentral.
UUUAAUUAGGUGCAACUGCAUCACUAUGAGAUGGACCUGCGUUGUAUUAGCUAGUUGGUGAGGUAACGGCUCACCAAGGCGACGAUACAUAGCCGACCUGAGAGGGUGAACGGCCACACUGGGACUGAGACACGCCCCUGACUCCUACGGGAGGCAGCAGUAGGGAAUCUUCGCCAUUGGUCGAAGUCUGACCGAGCAACGCCGCGUGAGUGAAGAAGGUUUUCGGAUCGUAAAGCUCUUUGUAGAGA